This 467-nucleotide long non-coding RNA is filed under the name Lathyrus oleraceus (garden pea). RNAcentral's name for it is "Pisum sativum (pea) long non-coding RNA (PSAT_LNC031594)". The record is from RNAcentral. Lineage: Eukaryota; Viridiplantae; Streptophyta; Magnoliopsida; Fabales; Fabaceae.
AAACCCUAAUCUGCCAUACCAAGUUCAGUACUAGAAACCGCUGAACUAAUUGACAACUAGUCUUAUUUUCAAUUUUUUUGAAGGUUCCACAACCGUUGGGUUAAGUGACCGGGUGAGGGUCACCAAACUUAGAAGGUGAAUUCCCUUUUCUUUUUUUUUUCUUUUUUGGAACACUCACUUAUAUUCAUCGGCUUCCCUGCGUAGAGUGUGUGUGAGAUGGUGCUGACUGCUGAAAUAAACUACUCAAGAGCUGUCAGAGGAUGAGAAUUUAAGGCUAAAACAUAAUAAGAAUUUGAAUCAAUUUCCAUAUGCAGGAGACUUACGGUGUUAAAACAAUACCGAUCUUGUGAAUUUUUCCCAAGUCUCUGCAAACUCGACUCAAUGUAACCUAUAUCCUAAAACUUUCAACAAAAAUGCAUUUUUUUUAAAGAAAACAAAAACAAAACAAAACAAAGAACAAAACAAAG